Molecule: long non-coding RNA, 1329 nt
Filed under: Phoenix dactylifera (date palm)
Lineage: Eukaryota; Viridiplantae; Streptophyta; Magnoliopsida; Arecales; Arecaceae
Description: long non-coding RNA (PDAC_LNC003357)
Source: RNAcentral
CGAGGUCUGUCGAUCACCGCCGGUGCACGGGCCGGGGUUGGUGGCCAACUGGGUUCGGUGGGGGCGGAGGAGAGGGAGGUAGGAGGUUCGACCGGACCCUUCCGGUCCCAGAGCUAAUUCAUCCGAUUCAGAUGUCAACCGGAGGUCCAGUCGUAUGGGCGAGGAGGAGAAUUGGACCCUAGUUCUGGGCAAACAGGCGAAGGACUACUGCUGUGAGAGGCCCUGGUGCUGGUUGUGGUAUUAGUUAGCCGUAGGAUUGCUUUGCUGAAAGAUGGUGUUUGCCUUUGCUUUGCUCUGCUCUGACUUCCUUCCGGGCUAACCCAGAACUCGAUUGGUUUGGCUCGCAAAAUAAAUAAAUAAAUAAGAAAUCAAAAAAAAUACUUCUUAAGAGGAAUAAAAAAAUAAAUAAGAUUCUCAACGGAAAAAAAUCCACGACUCGAGCCUCGAGGGAUCAUCUUCACCCUGUCUUCGCUCUGUCGCUGGCCGCGGAUGCUAUUGGCCGUUCCUUUCCUUCGCGUCUUUGUAGCUUCUUUUAGGUCUACCUCCACUUCUGAGGACUACGAGCGCAUAAACUUCCGAGGAGGCUUCUGAGUUAUCAAUUUCAGCUGCAUCAAGAAUCUCGAGUGCAUCCCAAACCUAAAUUGUUGCAAACCCAACCUUCUUCGUAGAAAGAAUCGAGUAAAAAACCUCUCCCUUCAGAAACUACACGCACCCAAUUCACUCUUUGGAAGGCAGCGACUGGUGAUAGGAACAAUUUUUGAAUCGAGCUUCUUCGUCAAUGCAGCACCUUCCAGCCUAUCAACACCGUGGUAAAAAUUCUCACAAUGCGGAGAUUCCCAGAAGCAGUUGUCCAAUUUGCCCGACCAAAACCUGCGAAGCCAUCAAAACCUUCAAAAAAUCUACUUCAUAUCGAAGAAAAUAAUAUUAAAAAAAGAGAUUUUGGUGGUUUAGAAGAAUAGGAUUUCGAUGAAGAAACCUGGAAGGACGAAUGAGAAGGUGACGUGGGAGAGGGAUAUAUCUACGUGGGAAUUACUAUUCCAAGAGCUGCCGAUGCUUAAAGUUCUACCUCUGAUGGAUUCUAAAGGCGAAGGAGAGAUUGUGGUGAGGAAGGAGGAGGAGGAUCGAUUUCUGUAUAAGAUUAGGGUUUGACCGUUUGAGGGAGAAGAUGCCGCGGAAGCCUUUCUCGAAUCCCCGGCCUAAAGAAACUAACCAUUCGUUGCGAGGCUCUUUUCGUCGCUCACGGGGGGUGACCAGAUACGCACGUCCCAUGCGGCAGUGGCCAGUGGGUGAUAUCGAAUGAUCGGCCUUGGUUUUCGUAUUCCCUGCUUG